This 86-nucleotide transfer RNA is filed under the name Chitinophagaceae bacterium. RNAcentral describes it as "tRNA-Ser". It matches the Rfam family "tRNA". From Rfam's summary of the family: Transfer RNA (tRNA) molecules are approximately 80 nucleotides in length. Their secondary structure includes four short double-helical elements and three loops (D, anti-codon, and T loops). The record is from RNAcentral. Lineage: Bacteria; Pseudomonadati; Bacteroidota; Chitinophagia; Chitinophagales; Chitinophagaceae. RNAcentral also lists the same sequence under 1 other name.
GGAGAGUUGACCGAGAUGGUAAGGUACUGGUAUGCUAAACCAAGGUUGAGGUAACACUCAGGUAAGUUCGAUUCUUACACUCUCCG